GAAGAAUAGACUCGACUUCCCAAACGCUUAUUUGUUAUCACAUGGGUGUCGCAAUUAGGACACAUUAGGUCAAGAACACAGUUUUACUUCACUCAUUGUGAGCGUACAGCUACUUGUGCAUGCAUGCAGGAAGCUAAAUGACUUUUAUUUAACGGAAAGCAAACAGGAAUACUGAUUAUGCACAACAAAAAUACCUUUAAAGCCACGAAUGGCUCUAAAUAUACAAGAGCUUUGUCUGUACUGUUAAAGGUGUUAAAGCAAGGCAAGUGUAUUUAGCACAUGCAGUGAGACGAAAGUCAGAGAAACACAAAAAUAGACUUUUAUUUAAAUUCAAAAUAUUGCCAGGUAGGUUUCAAAAUAAAAGCAUAAAGUUAGUAUGAAUUAAAGCUCCGAUGGGGAGUUUUUUUAUGUGUAUGAAAUAGACUACAACUCAUAGUUAUGAUUUCUCAUGAUAUCCAAAAGCAAACAAGAUCAUAAAUAACAAGACAGAUGUUUUUUUUAUCACAUUCUUAACACCUGAAACUGGCGUGAGGGGGCGGUGUCGGCUUUGCAAUUGAACAUCUGUUUUUUUUUUUUUUUACAAUUUUCACCUUAAAUUUUCACAAUGAAUGAAUUAAAAUUGUUUGCUGCUGAGUUAGUGUGAAUGUGAACACCUGAAUACGUUGCGUAUAUAUGUUUAAUUAGUGGGACAAAUUUGCUUCAUUUGGAUGUUACAUGAUUUCUGAGUUUAAGAUGCAAGAGAUGAGGGGUUUGCUUCGUGCGUUUUAGACAGUUUUUAUCAAACAUGGUUUAGGUUGACUACAAUGCAAGGAUUUGUUGUGUUUUCGCAAUUCAACAGAUAAUCUGACUCCUGCGAUUUCCUUUAUAUUCCUGUCUUGAUAGAAAAAAAAGAUGUAUAGUAUGGCUAAGAGUAGCUGUUUACCACCUUAAACAGUUUGUCCUUAAUACUGUUGACAAAUGAACCUCAAACAGUCUGUUCAUGACAUAAGUCUAGAUACAGUACAAUACAAUACAUAUGAUUGUCCCAUUGAGGAAAUUUGUCUUGGACUCAAGUGCUGCACAUGCUCCACUGUGUCCUCAAUUUGUCCUACUAAAUACUAACUAAUACUAAAUGAUUAAAACUGUGUUCAAAAGAAGCUGUAACCUACAAACAAUGAACACAAACCAAGGACACCACAACAAACAAGCAACUCAUACAUAUUAUAUUGGAGGGGGUGAGCAGCUUGUGGAGUAGUAAUCAUCCAUUUAUCAUUAUCGAGGUUUAUUGAUUUGAGGCCAUAUCGCCCAGCUUUAACCAGAGGACAGCAUUGUUAGCAAAGGAGCUAGAAAAAUAAGUGCAUUAUGACAUUUUUGGCCGGAGCUCAGACUUUUCAACUCUUGCUGAUGUGCAAACACAGCCAAGAGCGCACAUCACUAAUCUGCAUCGUUUGCACAUCUUAUUCAUCAGUUUACAAAUCCAGCCAUGCAUCACCAUUUGCACUUCUAAACUGAUGCCUAUUAUGUCUUUACACUGCUGCACAUGUGCCAAUAAUUAUUUCAGAAGACCUGACAUUUCAUAGGGGUUUAAAAUUUGACUGCUGCUUAAAGAUGUUGGUUUGAGUCAUCUGGGUCAAAAAGUAGCUCAGUCCAGGACAGCCUGAGUGGCCUGGAUGAUUCAGACUUCUUUUGGCCCUAAACUAAUCUGCUGUAUACCUUCUAGCUCUUUUCUGCUUUUGCUGGUGUUGUAUAAAGGCACAGACAAAGCUGACAUGAGUAAGGUAUUGGAAAACGGACUCACACAUUUCUCUUGGUCUUUAAAUCAGAUUUAUUAAAGUUCUGAAGAUCUAAAAUAACACCCGCCUUAUUCCUCUCAGGGUGCAUGAAUGUAUAACAAAGGACCUGUGAAAAAGAACUUAUAAAUAUACACAAGUAGGCAUUGUGAGAAAGUGAAUUAUAAUAACAGUAAACAAAUGAGAUUACCGUUGAGCAGAAUGAUGGGCUCAGUCUCACACCAUUGGUAUUUAUGAUGCUCAUGUUCCUCGAAAAUGAAAUAGCUUCACUCAUCAAGUGAGGGAAAAACAGGCUGAAGUAUCAAAGCAGGAGCAACACAAUCAGACGGAGGUGAAAACAAAAACAUCUCGGGAGUUUGCAUAUUAGGCAGCAGGUGAUACAUAUUUCAAAAUGAUGAGGUAAACACCAAAGAACCAAAACAAGAGGGAGUCCUGAACACUGUCCUGCUAAAUACGAGGCAUUUCUUUGUGAAAAAGAACAUUUGCAAUUCACCAAAUGCAAAAUCAAGUCAGAUUAGACACCUGUUUUGGUAUGAUUUAAAAGUAUAGAUUGUUAGAUUGCUAUUUUGUAAGGGAAUUAGUAUUUUAGCAAUGUUUUCUUCUAUUUUGGUGCUGUUGAGUUGUUAGGAAGUUAAAUGUUUCAAGACCUUUUGUGAAGAAAUAUCUGUAAAUCAUUAAACCAUCCAAUACACCAUAGUCUCAGGCCAACACGUUUAACUCUCCUUCUUCUAUGUUGCCUCUAAAGAUGCAGAAAACACACACAGGUCUUUUGGGUUCAUAUAAAGUGUCACUAAGAUCACUUUGUUUAUUUAGUGAAGACUAAUUAAAGGUUCUGUCAAGUCAAGAUGAAAAGCUUUUGCCUUUUCUGCUUCUUUGCAUAACGGCACCAUCGUCUCUGUUCCUCUCUGUACACUGUAUAACCAGUGUGUGGUUCAACAGUUGGGGCUGCCGUCACUGAACAGACAUGAGGAGUGAUGGGUUAUUCAUGUGUAACAAACAUGGCAUGUUAGCUCAGGGGCAAUCUUUUGGAAGAAAUGUCAUCCUGCAUCGCAGCGACUGUAGAUGACACGUGCAUUCCUCUGGCAGCGGCAGACCACAACUGCAUUUUCCUGCGCAUAGAGGGAUCCCCGUCGUUCCGAGCUUCAUGUUGGAGAACGCUCAGAGUGGUUACGAGCCAAAGACGAGUAAAGGCAGGGGGGCUUAACCAGCAGCUUACAAACACCGCUCCAAAGCCAUUUCUGACGGCUAUGAUUCAGAUGAAGAAGCCCAGUUACCCCCCGGUGGGCCGAGGCAGAAGAAAAGAGAGCUAGCACAGGCGAUCAAAGAUGCAUCGAUCAGGUCGACUACUCGUAGAGCUCAGUGGAACCUGCUUCUGCUCCAACAGCGCUAAAGUGGAGGCCAAGGCUCUCGAGAGAACAAAGGGAUCUCAGUGGUAUCCAAACGAUUACACAUGGAGUCAUAAGCAUUCUCAAAAGAGUCAAUGGUUGUAUUUCAAACUUCCCUUUUCUCAGACUGUCAAUAAAUCAUUUGUCCACUUGAUACUCAUCAGCACAUGCACAAGCAUUUGGCAUAUCUGUCCCACGUGGUUAUUUAGAUUAGAAAUAGAGGAACUUAAUGUUACAAUACAGUGUUGCUAGUGCACUGCAUGCAAAGCUGCUAUGACGGCGCAGUUUAUGCAUUUUAUGUGACUCCAGAGAUUUACAAUCACUGUAAGAUUUUGGGUCUUUGAUCCCGGCAAGUUUCUCCCAAGCCGCGGCUUCUCAGCGAGUCUUUAACUUUGCAUUUUUGGUUGAGAGCCUUCCCUGCUACUAACGCUGUCAAGUGUGUAAAUUGUUGCACUACCUCCAGUCCCAUUCCUGUACCUGCCUGAGCAGACUGAAUGAUGACGCCUGUCUCGGGUAACAUAAAUAUGGGAAUUGUCAUUCAACAUCUUUUGCACACAGGCAGCCCUGCAGCGAGAAAAAGUACAAACAGAUUCACAUCCUUCUCGGUGCCUGUUAAAUAUUAAGAUUCCUGUAUUAGCCAAAGGGAGACUGUAGGACAAGUUAUUUACUAUUGAAUUCAUAUUGAAGACCAACUAAACCAAUCCCUGUCCGAAGAAUUAACUAUACUUUCUUGCACCAAUUAAAAUAGUUCCUGAUUAAACCCAUACUGUAAAACCAGAACUUUUUGAUUAAAAAACUGAGAGUAGUAUUUUUCUUUGCUUUCUUUAAUGUUUAAGUGAGAUAACAGCAAACAUUUAGGGGAUACAGCAGGACACCUGUGCUUAACAAUUUAAUUCGAAUCAAUGAAAAACUGUUCUGCUUUUACAGAGGAAAACCAGUUUUAUGUAAAUGAAUGAAUGAAUUCAUGAAAUUUAUUUUGGUUAUACAUUACAUUAUGAUGAACAAACAUUACAAUUUGUGUGAAUCUAAAACUACCAAAAACAAAAUACAAAAUAAAAUAUUAUAUAUGUUCUCUUUGAUUUCACACAAUAUCAUCAACACAUUAAUUUAACCAAAAAAAUAGCAGGCUGACGACCAAACCUCUCCUAAAUUGAUGAGCCCAAAAGGCGAUAGCAGGUAGACUUCAAUGUAUAAUCUAUCAUUGUAUACUUAAAACACAUGAUGGUGUCCCACAAGGGUCCAUAUUGGGUCCUAUUUUUUUUACAAUUGACAUUUUUUCAUUUAUAUGCUGAUGAUAUGAUCAUGUAUACUUCUAAUUAUGACCAAUAAGCUUCUUUUAAUAUUGUCUGGAUGAAUCUAAUCCUGGCUUUAAUAUCCAUCAAGACCAAAAUGGUGUUCUUCUCAAGGUCUAAGAUAAUUUAUUAAUGAGAAAUUCAUAAUGAGCGUGUUACUUAGAGAGCUGAAGGUGAAACUGGGUUGAAUCAAAACCUAUGUACUUCCAGUACUCUCUGAAUGACUGCAUUCUUUAUAUGCAUACUAUCUCCUUUGCAAUGUUGGACCAAACUGCAUUGUGAUUGCCUCUCAUCGAGGUUUUCUGCACAAAUCCGUCUUGUACAAGAAAGUAGAGCUGUCUCCCUUACAUAAGAGAAGAAAAGCUGUCAGUGGCUGUAGCCUUCAGUCUCAUGGACGCAUCGUGGAUGUCAGCUCUUCAACUUCUAUCUUUGGAAAAAGGACUUAAAAGUUUCUACUCCAUCAUCCGGGUCUGGGUUACACUGUUAUCUAAAACUGGAUUGUGUAUGUCUGUAUGUGUAAAUUUGCAGGGUUCUGUUUGACCAGUUUGUUUAAUCUAGCUGCCUUCUUUUUUGUGCCAAACCUUGGUAACAUUAGCUAUUUAUAGUGACUCAAAACCAGCUGUAUUGGCUUACAUCUACUCAUAACACAGGGAUUACAUUACUGUACUACUAGGACCAAUUUAUGACCACUUACAGUGACUGUAAUAGUGUUUGUAGAAUGGCAAUAUAUCACAAGUAUGAAAGUUUCAUUACACUUUAAAUAGUGACUGGUCAGCAAACAUAUUGUAUUGACACCCAAUCUUUAAAAUACGUGAUUAUUUACUUUCAUAGUCAUUUACUAAUAAUUAUAGCUAUAUGCUCAUACGAACACAUAAAUAUGGUUAUGAUUCAUAAUAAACAAACAUCACAACAAGGUAUGACAGCUGUAUGAAGCAUUAUUAUGAUCCUAAGGGUUUAUAACUAUGAUUGUGCAGCGUUAUAAGUAUGUUAUAAUGCAUUAUGAGUGUGUUUGUAAUGUGCUAUGAUGCAUUACUGUCCC
Xyrichtys novacula (pearly razorfish) is the source of this 5485-nucleotide non-coding RNA. The record is from the annotation of a GenBank genome assembly. NCBI's taxonomy places the organism in Eukaryota, Metazoa, Chordata, Actinopteri, Labriformes, Labridae.